RNAcentral lists this long non-coding RNA (248 nucleotides) under Gossypium barbadense (sea-island cotton). RNAcentral describes it as "long non-coding RNA (GBAR_LNC003718)". The record is from RNAcentral. Lineage: Eukaryota; Viridiplantae; Streptophyta; Magnoliopsida; Malvales; Malvaceae.
CCAGAACCACUUUCACCCCGAAUUGUGCAUAUAAUCUGCCACUGGUUUUUUAUAGUCCUCAAAUGAUUUUCCACAUGCUUCGCAUCGCAUUGGACUUGAAAUCUUUCAGAAAUAGCUUCGACAACUUGAUUAAUAGAAACUGCUUUGAAAGUGUUAGAAGGCUUGUUUACUUUUUGGGCCACCUCUACUAGAAUUUCAAGGAAAAAUAUGUUCUAUCGGCUUUGUCCACCUGAAUUGCUUAGAGGUCC